Molecule: long non-coding RNA, 943 nt
Filed under: Homo sapiens (human)
Lineage: Eukaryota; Metazoa; Chordata; Mammalia; Primates; Hominidae
Description: HSALNT0373504
Source: RNAcentral
CUCCCUUGGUAGGGGCAUGCAGAAGACCUGAUGACACAAACCCUCCAAAGAGUUUCACCCUCACCACAACAGGUGGCUUCCUGCUCGGCAGCCCAUCCUGCAUCACUUCAGUGGACUUCUCUGACAUCUACUAGACCACAUUAAAUGAAUCACAGCCUUGAAACUGAACUGGAAGGACUUCCUUCAAGAUUUUUAUCUAAUUCCUGUUGGACAGUGUAAAAUGCCACUUCUUCCAGGGUUGCCUGCAUAUCAUCAAAAGGGAAAUAGUACUCAUCGAAGAUGUGCCUUUGCUAGGAACUAGGACAAGGGUGGCCUUUAUAAAUUCAUGAAGAGAAGGAGCCAGCAUAUGAACUUGCUGCCUAUCUUUAGCAAGGAGAUGCAAAUGACAUCCACAAACCUCUUCUGCUGUAUACCUGGAUGAAAGCAAGGCUAGCUGUGUGUCCUAUGGCACCAAGGACUGAAAGAUUGUAAGAAGUAAGAAAUGCUUUGGUAAUUCUGUUUCUCAAGCCUGCACAUCACGAGCAAACAAGUAUGCUUAUGGGUGUCUUAGCCCAGUAGGCUGUUUAUCAGAAAGCUACCAGUCCCCUGUGAGAAGCUGGCUUUCCUCCAAAAUGUAGAAGGUGUUUAAGGGGACAUAUUUCUUUGGUACACCCUAAAGCAAGCUUGUCCAAUGUGCAGCCUGCAGGCCGCAUGUGGCUCAGGACAGCUUUGAAUGUAGCCCAACAUAAAUUCAUAAACUUUCUUAAAACAUUGUGAUUUUUUUGUGUGUUUUUCUUUGUUUGUUGCUAAUCAUCUAUUGUUAGUGUUAGUGUAUUUUAUGUGUGGCCCAAGACAAUUCUUCUUCUUCCAGUGUGGCCCAGGGAAGCCAAAAGAUUGGACACCCCUACCCUAAUGGCUAAGGAAAGUUUAAAUCCUGUCCCCACCUACCUCAGGUCCAUGUUGC